GGAUAACCCGGGGAAACCCGGCCUAAUACCCCAUGCCGCCCGGACCGGGCAUCCGGUCCGGGCGAAAGGAGGAAUCCGGUGGCGGCUGGGCAUGCGGCGCAUUAGCUUGACGGCGGGGUAACGGCCCACCGUGGCGACGAUGCGUAGGGGUUCUGAGAGGAAGGCCCCCCACACUGGAACUGAGACACGGUCCAGACUCCUACGGGAGGCAGCAGUGAGGAAUAUUGGUCAAUGGGCGGAAGCCUGAACCAGCCAAGUCGCGUGAGGGAAUAAGGCCCUACGGGUCGUAAACCACUUUUGCCGGGGAGCAAGGGCCGGGACGUGUCCCGGCCCGGAGAGUACCCGGAGAAAAAGCAUCGGCUAACUCCGUGCCAGCAGCCGCGGUAAUACGGAGGAUGCGAGCGUUAUCCGGAUUUAUUGGGUUUAAAGGGUGCGUAGGCGGGCUUUUAAGUCAGCGGUAAAAAUUCGGGGCUCAACCCCGUCCGGCCGUUGAAACUGGGGGCCUUGAGUGGGCGAGAAGAAGGCGGAAUGCGUGGUGUAGCGGUGAAAUGCAUAGAUAUCACGCAGAACCCCGAUUGCGAAGGCAGCCUUCCGGCGCCCUACUGACGCUGAGGCACGAAAGUGCGGGGAUCGAGCAGGAUUAGAUACCCUGGUAGUCCGCACAGUAAACGAUGGAUGCCAGCUGUCCGGGCCGAAUGGGGCCUGGGU
RNAcentral lists this ribosomal RNA (708 nucleotides) under uncultured bacterium. Its description in RNAcentral is "bacterial SSU rRNA". It matches the Rfam family "Bacterial small subunit ribosomal RNA", at positions 141 to 844 of the family's 1533-position model. The record is from RNAcentral.